AAAUCGGCUCUUUUUAGAGCCAUCAUGCUGUACAAACCCGACUAG
This is a non-coding RNA of Habropoda laboriosa, 45 nucleotides long. Lineage: Eukaryota; Metazoa; Arthropoda; Insecta; Hymenoptera; Apidae. The record is from Rfam.